GACGAACGCUGGCGGCGUGCUUAACACAUGCAAGUCGAGCGGUAAGGCCCUUUCGGGGGUACACGAGCGGCGAACGGGUGAGUAACACGUGGGUGACCUGCCCUCAGCUCUGGGAUAAGCCCGGGAAACUGGGUCUAAUACUGGAUAUGACUCCACGGUGCAUGCCGUGGGGUGGAAAGCCUUGUGCGGCUGAGGAUGGGCCCGCGGCCUAUCAGCUUGUUGGUGGGGUGAUGGCCUACCAAGGCGACGACGGGUAGCCGGCCUGAGAGGGCGACCGGCCACACUGGGACUGAGACACGGCCCAGACUCCUACGGGAGGCAGCAGUGGGGAAUCUUGCGCAAUGGGCGAAAGCCUGACGCAGCGACGCCGCGUGAGGGA
Molecule: ribosomal RNA, 379 nt
Filed under: uncultured bacterium
Lineage: Bacteria
Description: bacterial SSU rRNA
Rfam family: Bacterial small subunit ribosomal RNA
Source: RNAcentral